Molecule: ribosomal RNA, 484 nt
Filed under: uncultured bacterium
Lineage: Bacteria
Description: partial 16S ribosomal RNA
Rfam family: Bacterial small subunit ribosomal RNA
Source: RNAcentral
AUUGAACGCUGGCGGCAUGCUUUACACAUGCCAGUCGAACGGCAGCGCGGGCUUCGGCCUGGCGGCGAGUGGCGAACGGGUGAGUAAUACAUCGGAACGUGCCCAGUAGUGGGGGAUAGCUCGGCGAAAGCCGGAUUAAUACCGCAUACGACCUGAGGGUGAAAGCGGGGGAUCUUCGGACCUCGCGCUAUUUGAGCGGCCGAUGGCAGAUUAGCUAGUUGGUGGGGUAAAGGCCUACCAAGGCGACGAUCUGUAGCUGGUCUGAGAGGACGACCAGCCACACUGGGACUGAGACACGGCCCAGACUCCUACGGGAGGCAGCAGUGGGGAAUUUUGGACAAUGGGCGAAAGCCUGAUCCAGCAAUGCCGCGUGUGUGAUGAAGGCCUUCGGGUUGUAAAGCACUUUUGGCGGGAACGAAAAGGACUGUGCCAAUACCACGGUUCGAUGACGGUACCCGCAGAAUAAGCACCGGCUAACUACGUG